RNAcentral lists this ribosomal RNA (422 nucleotides) under uncultured bacterium. RNAcentral describes it as "bacterial SSU rRNA". It matches the Rfam family "Bacterial small subunit ribosomal RNA", at positions 359 to 773 of the family's 1533-position model. The record is from RNAcentral.
GAAUCUUCCGCAAUGGGCGAUAGCCUGACGGAGCAACGCCGCGUGAACGAAGAAGGCCUUCGGGUCGUAAAGUUCUGUCCUCAGGGAAGAACCCUCAUGGGAGGAAAUGCCCAUGAGCUGACGGUACCUGGGAAGGAAGCCCUGGCUAACUACGUGCCAGCAGCCGCGGUAAUACGUAGAGGCCAAGCGUUGUCCGGAAUGACUGGGCGUAAAGGGGACGCAGGCGGAUAAGUAAGUCAAAUGUGAAAGGCACCGGCUCAACCGGUGAGCUGCAUUUGAAACUGCCUAUCUUGAGUUCAGGAGAGGAGAGCGGAAUUCCUGGUGUAGCGGUGGAAUGCGUAGAUAUCAGGAAGAACACCAGUGGCGAAGGCGGCUCUCUGGCCUGAAACUGACGCUCAUGUACGAAAGCUGGGGGAGCGAAC